GUGGGGAAUCUUGCGCAAUGGGCGAAAGCCUGACGCAGCCAUGCCGCGUGAAUGAUGAAGGUCUUAGGAUUGUAAAAUUCUUUCACCGGGGACGAUAAUGACGGUACCCGGAGAAGAAGCCCCGGCUAACUUCGUGCCAGCAGCCGCGGUAAUACGAAGGGGGCUAGCGUUGCUCGGAAUUACUGGGCGUAAAGGGCGCGUAGGCGGACAGUUUAGUCAGAGGUGAAAGCCCAGGGCUCAACCUUGGAAUUGACUUUGAUACUGGCUGUCUUGAGUACGGGAGAGGUGAGUGGAACUCCGAGUGUAGAGGUGAAAUUCGUAGAUAUUCGGAAGAACACCAGUGGCGAAGGCGACUCACUGGCCCGUUACUGACGCUGAGGCGCGAAAGCGUGGGGAGCAAACAGGAUUAGAAACCCCAGUAGUCC
Molecule: ribosomal RNA, 425 nt
Filed under: uncultured bacterium
Lineage: Bacteria
Description: bacterial SSU rRNA
Rfam family: Bacterial small subunit ribosomal RNA
Source: RNAcentral